Molecule: small nucleolar RNA, 120 nt
Filed under: Echinops telfairi (small Madagascar hedgehog)
Lineage: Eukaryota; Metazoa; Chordata; Mammalia; Afrosoricida; Tenrecidae
Description: Small nucleolar RNA SNORA61 (ENSETEG00000026300.1)
Source: RNAcentral
CCCAUCCAGAUUCCUUACUCCUUGGAGCUAAAUAAUGGCCUAAGCGGCUUAAAAAGGAGGAAAAGUAAAAUUUAAGUGGAUUUGAGUCUCUAGUGACAUAUAAGUUCAUUUCAAACAUAU